UUUUCUUCGCCUGUACAUAUAAAAAGGAAAGCAAAGCACAGAAAAACAAUUUGCGUCUUAAUUUGUCAAGAUUAUAGAAUCUUCCUUCAGAUAACCAAGAAUUUACAAUGAAGAAUUUUUUUCUUCUUCUGCUAUUAUGUGCACUACUUCUGGCAAUCUGCGAGGCACAAAAUAUUGGAACGUUAUGGUUUUUGAGUAGAAUGUUUAACAGACAAAAUAAUCGACCGAUGAACUUAAUGGAUAUGAUGCUAAUGAACCAGUAUGACAUCAUUUAACUUCAGAAAAUGAAUCGACAAACGAUACUCGACGCAAAGGAAUGCGACAAGGAUACCCACUUGUUGUUAUAUUAUUGGAAUCCAUUCAUAAUCAACCAGACUAUACAUUUUAUUUAUAUAACAUUGUAAUUAUCAUCUAACUUUGUAUUUAUAUAUUUUAUAUUAAUUUCAAAAAAAGUGUUUUUUGUUUGAA
Mytilus californianus (California mussel) is the source of this 468-nucleotide long non-coding RNA. RefSeq lists it as uncharacterized. The record is from RefSeq and is a predicted model, not a curated record. The transcript has 3 exons. Lineage: Eukaryota; Metazoa; Mollusca; Bivalvia; Mytilida; Mytilidae.